RNAcentral lists this ribosomal RNA (608 nucleotides) under Salmonella enterica subsp. enterica serovar Infantis. RNAcentral describes it as "bacterial SSU rRNA". It matches the Rfam family "Bacterial small subunit ribosomal RNA", at positions 1 to 598 of the family's 1533-position model. Lineage: Bacteria; Pseudomonadati; Pseudomonadota; Gammaproteobacteria; Enterobacterales; Enterobacteriaceae. RNAcentral also lists the same sequence under 1 other name. The record is from RNAcentral.
AAAUUGAAGAGUUUGAUCAUGGCUCAGAUUGAACGCUGGCGGCAGGCCUAACACAUGCAAGUCGAACGGUAACAGGAAGCAGCUUGCUGCUUCGCUGACGAGUGGCGGACGGGUGAGUAAUGUCUGGGAAACUGCCUGAUGGAGGGGGAUAACUACUGGAAACGGUGGCUAAUACCGCAUAACGUCGCAAGACCAAAGAGGGGGACCUUCGGGCCUCUUGCCAUCAGAUGUGCCCAGAUGGGAUUAGCUUGUUGGUGAGGUAACGGCUCACCAAGGCGACGAUCCCUAGCUGGUCUGAGAGGAUGACCAGCCACACUGGAACUGAGACACGGUCCAGACUCCUACGGGAGGCAGCAGUGGGGAAUAUUGCACAAUGGGCGCAAGCCUGAUGCAGCCAUGCCGCGUGUAUGAAGAAGGCCUUCGGGUUGUAAAGUACUUUCAGCGGGGAGGAAGGUGUUGCGGUUAAUAACCGCAGCAAUUGACGUUACCCGCAGAAGAAGCACCGGCUAACUCCGUGCCAGCAGCCGCGGUAAUACGGAGGGUGCAAGCGUUAAUCGGAAUUACUGGGCGUAAAGCGCACGCAGGCGGUCUGUCAAGUCGGAUGUGAA